AAGCGACACACACUGAAUAAUGAAGUAACUGAAGAUAAACUCAACAAAUGAGUCUCCAAGUUGAUAACUUGAAUAUUCGAAGUGUUGCACCAGUUAUUAUAUGUAUUUGACAACUUUCUACGUAGAAGCUAGAAAAACACCGAAAGAAAACUUGGCGAUGAGAAAGUUCAUUUUAUGAGGAAAGAGAAACUUUAUGGCACGAGUGGUUUAUGUCCAAAACGAAACAACUCACUCCAUAACCUACCCCAAGACGACCAUUUGACAAUUUGUCGUCCAUUUUAGAACGUUUUGGAGAAUGUGAAUGUAUAUUUUUAUAGUAUAAGGCAACAGCGAAAAGUGGCGAUUGAGCUAAAUGUAGGAAAUUAAUUGCAUCUUAAAACACAUCUUGAUAAUG
Molecule: non-coding RNA, 394 nt
Organism: Onthophagus taurus
Lineage: Eukaryota; Metazoa; Arthropoda; Insecta; Coleoptera; Scarabaeidae
Source: RefSeq, a predicted model, not a curated record